AUUGCUUCUGUGGACAGGUGUCUUUUAUACAGGUAACAAGCUGAGAUUAGGUGCACUCCCUCUAAGAGAGUGAUCCUAAUCUCAGCUUGUUACCUGUAUAAAAGACACCUGAGAGUCAGAAA
This 122-nucleotide microRNA precursor is filed under the name Pelobates cultripes (western spadefoot toad). Lineage: Eukaryota; Metazoa; Chordata; Amphibia; Anura; Pelobatidae. The record is from RNAcentral.